ACGGGGUGCAGCAGGCGCGAACACUUUACAAUGCGGGAAACCGCGAUAAGGGGACCCCGAGUGCCAGCAUCAAAUGUUGGCUGUCCAGAUGAUUAAAAAUCAUUUGUUAGCAAGGGCCGGGCAAGACCGGUGCCAGCCGCCGCGGUAACACCGGCGGCCCGAGUGGUAGCCGUUUUUAUUGGGUCUAAAGGGUCCGUAGCCGGCCUGAUAAGUCCUUUGGGAAAUCUGGCAGCUUAACUGUCAGGCUUCUAAGGGAUACUGUCAGGCUUGGGACCGGAAGAGGUAAGGGGUACUCCAGGGGUAGGAGUGAAAUCUUGUAAUCCCUGGGGGACCAUCUGUGGCGAAGGCGCCUUACCAGAACGGGUCCGACGGUGAGGGACGAAAGCUAGGGGAGCAAACCGGAUUAGAUACCCGGGUAGUCCUAGCUGUAAACGAUGCUCGCUAGGUGUCAGACACGGUGCGACCGUGUUUGGUGCCGCAGGGAAGCCGUUAAGCGAGCCACCUGGAAGUACGUCGACAAGGC
This 523-nucleotide ribosomal RNA is filed under the name uncultured archaeon. Its description in RNAcentral is "bacterial SSU rRNA". It matches the Rfam family "Archaeal small subunit ribosomal RNA", at positions 325 to 849 of the family's 1478-position model. The record is from RNAcentral.